GUAGAGGUCAAGGUAGUCACACUCUAAGUCAACUUAGACCUAUUCAAUGUCAUGUUGGUCCUUCAGAACUAGAUCCUAUUUUGCAAUCACCAGGUGCUACUUCAAUUGAUGGUAAUCAAUCACCACCUACCACCUCAGUGUUUGAUGGUGGUCAAUCAAAUGUCAAUUCAACAUCUAAUGACGUACCUACUCAAGAUCCUUCAAGUGUAUAUUCUCAUAAUGAAGUUGAUAGGAGACUUGUCAUAUCUGUACAAUAAGUUAGCAGACCAAGAAGGUUUGUUCCUGAUUCUGUGACUCGAGAUAUCAUAUCUGAAGUAUUGAUGAGAAUGCCUAAUCCAGCUGAGAAAUGGAAAACUUAUUCUGCUGAUAUGAAAGAAAUAUUAUUCAAUGAUUUUAAGGCAAGUUACUAUAAUCUUUUAUCUUUAUAUUACAUUUACUUAUCAUUAAUUUUGAUAAAUUUGUAUUGGUGUAGAAUAAGUACCGAUUUGCAUCAGAUUAUGAUCGUAGCAUGGCAAGAAAGGUUUGGAAUUUAACAUGCAUGGAUCGUUAUUCUGACUCUUUAGCUAAGGUAAGAAAAAAGGCAAGAGAAAGAGCAAACUCAGAUAAUAUAGAAGACUUAAAAGGUUUUGGGCCAAGAUGA
Molecule: long non-coding RNA, 640 nt
Organism: Vigna unguiculata (cowpea)
Lineage: Eukaryota; Viridiplantae; Streptophyta; Magnoliopsida; Fabales; Fabaceae
Source: RefSeq, a predicted model, not a curated record